Molecule: long non-coding RNA, 407 nt
Filed under: Musa acuminata (dwarf banana)
Lineage: Eukaryota; Viridiplantae; Streptophyta; Magnoliopsida; Zingiberales; Musaceae
Description: long non-coding RNA (MACU_LNC006101)
Source: RNAcentral
AUAAGAAUCAGCUGGAGGGGCCCGAUAAUAAGAAUCAGCUGGAGGUGCCCGAUAAUACAGUUCAGCUGGAGGGGCCCGAUAAUAAGAAUCAGCUGGAGGUGCCUGAUAAGCCGCAUCAGCUGGAGGGGCCCGAUUAUAAGAAUCAGCUGGAGGUGCCCGAUAAGACGGAUCAGCUGGAGGUGCCUGAUAAGAUGGAUCAGCUAGAGGUGCCUGAUAAGAAGGAUCAGCUGGAGGUGCGGCUGGGGGUGCUCGAUAUGAUGGAUUGGCUGGUGGUUUCCGAUAAGAUGGAUCGGGUGGAGGUGCCCGAUAAGAUGGUUCGGCUGGAGGUGCCCGAGAAUAUGGAUCAGCUGGAGGUGCCUGGUGAUAUGAAUCAGCUGGUGGUGCCAGAUAAUACGACUUGGCUGGAG